CUUCAGCGAGCCGAGCCACAGCGGCUCACCACCCCGGUCCCGCCCGUAGGUGGCGACCAGCGCCCGCGCCUC
RNAcentral lists this antisense RNA (72 nucleotides) under Actinosynnema mirum DSM 43827. RNAcentral's name for it is "ASpks TB sRNA". It matches the Rfam family "ASpks TB sRNA". The record is from Rfam by way of RNAcentral. Lineage: Bacteria; Bacillati; Actinomycetota; Actinomycetes; Pseudonocardiales; Pseudonocardiaceae.